AAAAGGGAGGGUUUUGGGAAAAUUAAUAUUUGGUGGUUUCAUUGGCUCCCACCUCUACGAAAAGCUUAUGGCGGAGACACCGCACAAGGUGUUGGCUCUCGAUGUAUGUAGCGACAAGAUCAAGCACCUUCUUGAGCCUGCGAGCACUCACCCUUGGUUCGAUCGCAUCCAGUUCCACCACCUCAACAUCAAGAACGACUCUCGCCUCGAAGGCCUCAUCAAGAUGUCAAAUCUGCGAACCCAAAUGGGUCUGAGGUGUAGGUAAAAAUGAGCUCAGAGCUUGAGUACUCAGACACUGUUACUGGGCUCUUCCUUGACCUCCCAAUCGUCUGCUUUAAUGGCAGUGGUUGCUCCCUAGGCAAUAUACUGUACGGUACCUCCCACCUCUGCUUCUUUGCAUCAGUAAUAUGGACCCUUAAUCGAUCUUGUGUCUCAUGCUUGUACAAAAAUCAAGAAACAUCAAACGGCUGAGAGGUGCAUUUUCAAAAAUAAGAGAACCAGAGGAAGAGAAGUAGGGGAUAACAUACUUGAAAAAGAGUUGCGAGUGAGGCAUAUCAGGGCCGUAGCCAUUGUUGUUCUUGAUGACAACAAGGUGGCCCACAAGGCCUCCAUCAGGGGUCUACUCAAUGGAGAUGAGACGAUAACCUUGGCCAAUCUUGGUUUGUGUAGGUUGAUCUGGGUUUUAUUUUUUUGGGUAUGUUCUUCAUGUUCAAGAUUUAUGUGAAUUGAGAGAGAAACCAAUACCACUUUUUGAUA
Quercus robur (English oak) is the source of this 756-nucleotide long non-coding RNA. RefSeq lists it as uncharacterized. The transcript is spliced from 2 exons. NCBI's taxonomy places the organism in Eukaryota, Viridiplantae, Streptophyta, Magnoliopsida, Fagales, Fagaceae. The record is from RefSeq and is a predicted model, not a curated record.